RNAcentral lists this long non-coding RNA (932 nucleotides) under Cyanistes caeruleus (blue tit). RNAcentral describes it as "lncRNA (ENSCCEG00000005289.1)". The record is from RNAcentral. Lineage: Eukaryota; Metazoa; Chordata; Aves; Passeriformes; Paridae.
GGGGGAAAAAAAAGCGAAUUUUUCCAGGUUUUUUUGAGGAAAAAAAGGGAUUUUUUCUGCUUUUUUUGGGGAAAAAAAAGGAAUUUUUUUGGGGAAAAAAAGGAAUUUUUUAGAUUUUUUUGAGGAAAAAAAAGGAAUUUUUCCGAUUUUUUGGGGGGAAAAAAAAGCGAAUUUUUUUUGUUUCCUGGGGGGGAAAAAAAGCGAAUUUUUCCAGGUUUUUUUGAGGAAAAAAAGAGAAUUUUCCCAAUUUUUUGGGGGGAAAAAAAGGGAAUUUUUCGUGUUUUUUUUGAGGAAAAAACCCGGAUUUUUUCCAGGUUUUUUUGAGAGAAAAAAGGGAAUUUUUCCGAUUUUUUUAGGGAAAAAAAGGGAAUUUUUUCUGAUUUUUUGGGGGAAAAAAAGGGAAUUUUUCCAGGUUUUUUAGGGAAAAAAAAGGUAAAAAUUCCCCAAAAAAAUCCCAAUUUCUUUAUUUUUCUUUUCCCUUUUUUUCCCCCUUUUCCCUCCAAAUUUUUGGAAUUUUUUCCGAAUUUUUUUUUGUCUUAACAAAAAAUUAUUUUAAAGAUUUUUAUUUGAUUUAUUUCCGGAUUUUUCUCUUUUUUUUUUUCCUGGGAAUUCUGCAUUUUUUCCCAGGAAUUUUUCCCAUUUUUCCCCCAUUUCCUUUCCCCCCCAAAUUUUUUAUUUUAUUUUUUUUUUCCUUUUCCAGGCAUUUUUUUUUCUGGGAAUUUUUUCUCCGGGAUUUUUUUUUAUACACAAUUUUCCUCCACCCUGUUUCCUUUUCUUCCAAGAAUUCCACGUUUUUCCCGAGAAUUCCUCCUUUUUUCCUGGGAAUUCCAUGUUUUUUCCUAGGAAUUUCAGUUUUUUCCUGGGAAUUUUGUGGUUUUUUCCAAAAAUUCCACAUUUUUCCCAAAAAUUCUGCGUCUUUUCCUGAGAAAUCU